Molecule: ribosomal RNA, 253 nt
Filed under: uncultured bacterium
Lineage: Bacteria
Description: partial 16S ribosomal RNA
Rfam family: Bacterial small subunit ribosomal RNA
Source: RNAcentral
UACGUAGGGUGCGAGCGUUAAUCGGAAUUACUGGGCGUAAAGCGUGCGCAGGCGGUUUGAGAAGUCCGAUGUGAAAGCCCCGGGCUUAACCUGGGAACGGCGUUGGAAACUCUCAAGCUUGAGUGUGGCAGAGGGGGGUGGAAUUCCACGUGUAGCAGUGAAAUGCGUAGAGAUGUGGAGGAACACCGAUGGCGAAGGCAGCCCCCUGGGCUAACACUGACGCUCAGGCACGAAAGCGUGGGGAGCAAACAGG